This 100-nucleotide ribosomal RNA is filed under the name Paenibacillus xylanilyticus. The record is from RNAcentral. Lineage: Bacteria; Bacillati; Bacillota; Bacilli; Caryophanales; Paenibacillaceae.
AGGGGUUCCACACGUACCCAUCCCGAACACGACCGUUAAGCCCUCUAGCGCCGAUGGUACUUGGACCGAAGGGUCCUGGGAGAGUAGGACGUUGCCAAGC